GGAGUUGUGGCUCAGUGGUAGGGCACUAGCCUUGCAUGCCUGAGGCUCUGGGUUCAAUCCUCAGCACCA
Molecule: non-coding RNA, 69 nt
Organism: Ictidomys tridecemlineatus (thirteen-lined ground squirrel)
Lineage: Eukaryota; Metazoa; Chordata; Mammalia; Rodentia; Sciuridae
Source: Rfam